Paramisgurnus dabryanus is the source of this 1634-nucleotide long non-coding RNA. RefSeq lists it as uncharacterized. The record is from RefSeq and is a predicted model, not a curated record. NCBI's taxonomy places the organism in Eukaryota, Metazoa, Chordata, Actinopteri, Cypriniformes, Cobitidae.
UUUUAAACAUCAUUUUGUGUGUAAGUGUGUAUUAGUACAUGCUCACGAUAUUCAAAAAGUACAUACCUCAAAGAAAACGAUGACGCGAGUUAUCGUCUCUAACGUUCGAGGACUACAAAAAACACUCGGAUUGUAGGCAACAGUUUACUUCCUGGGAUUAGUGACGUAGAUAAGACCAACAUUAUCAUAGUUCAGCCCUCUCUGCUUUGCUUGGGUACGCCCUCAAAGACGAGGGUGGGGAGCGCCGAGUCAGAAGAGAGCUAAAAUGGCGGAGGUUGGGAGUCCCUGCUUUGACUCUGUUUGCAAACUCUUGUUUCAUUGUUUAAGCGAUUAAAUCUCUCGAGUAGACGCUGUCUCUUUAGAUGCGAGGGAAAAUAGCACUUUAUGGACUUCCACAGAGGACAUCAUGUUUAAUACGGUUCCGGAAAAAUCCAGUCAGAAGUUGUUCACGGAGUUUUCACAAUAACUGCUUCUCAUGAACCGAAGCUGGAUUUGCGCGACGUCUCCUCUUGAAAGUUGGAUUACUGUGCACUUCUGGAUCACAGGCUAUUCGCAGCUGGACACAUCCUUCUACAAUGUAUGCAAACAUGCAACAUCAAUACACACAGUACAAGGAGUCAGACUGGCAUAUGAGGAGCAAAGGAACCCAGGCAGUAGCAUCGUUUCACAAUGUUUCCAUCACCAUCAUCAGUGGAUGCCUUUGCCGUCCGUAGCCUGAGAUUUCAGAUUUGCAGCAAAAAAAUUUGAUUUUCUCAUUUAUUGGAAUGCUAUGCAGGUUGUACCUUGCAGCCAUCCAUUACAAUGUCACCAAGCCGUAACAAAAGCAGGAGAGGGAAAGUACAAGGCUAUGUUCCCAAAACACAAAUGACAUACCGUAAGCAGUAAUGUUUUAUUUCAAAUACAUUCAUAAUUAAAAACUUAAUGUAUGAAGCAGGGAAAUAAAUUAUCAAAACAAAAGAUUUAUUGACUGCAAUAUUUGUACAGUUAUGUGGAUGAUGUGAUCAGGCUUGUGUUUGAUGAGGUAUUUGAAGAUAAGCUGAAGGAAACCCCGAUUCCAAUGGACCUGGCAUCACAGUUUGAGAGACCUUCAAAGGAGGACGUGAUUGCAUGCCAUCUUCAGUGCAGGGGUCGUCGGAAGCCAACAUUCCGAUCAGGACGCUCCAAGCGUAUCUGGAGAACAACACACGACAGGAUGAUAACCCUAAAGUGUCAUCUUAGAUAGCAUCAGCUGACAAAGCUUUGAUAUGCCAUUUAUCUGAAUAGAUAGCUGUAAGAAGUGAAUUGAACAAUUUUUGAAAGAAGAGCACAAUAUGGUUACUAAAGUAUGUUUAUUUGUAUAUUGUUUAACAUUUAAAUAUAUAUUUGUAAUAAAUAAACUUUUGACUGACUACUAUAUUUUCUUUAAAGUUACAUCUUUUGUUCUUUUGGGUACUUUGUUACUAUAAUAAUACUUUAGUGUUAUUGGUUUAAAAAUGUAAUAAAACUUACUCUAGUCCUGCGCCUCAAAGGCUUAUAGUCGGUACAAUAAAUGUUCUGUGUGUAGGGAUUUAGACAAUUUGUGCAAAACCUGGAUGAUGAAUCACGCAGGGAAGAGGCCCUGGAACCUGUUGCAUUCUCCUUAAAACCUAGUAAGU